CCCUUAGAUGUUCUGGGCCGCACGCGCGCUACACUGACGAAUGCAACGAGCUUAUAACCUUGGCCGAAAGGUCUGGGUAAUCUCCAAAUUUCGUCGUGAUGGGGAUAGAUUAUUGCAAUUAUUAAUCUUCAACGAGGAAUGCCUAGUAAGCGCAAGUCAUCAGCUUGCGUUGAUCACGUCCCUGCCCUUUGUACACACCGCCCGUCGCUCCUACCGAUUGAAUGGUCCGGUGAAGCGUUCGGACCGUGGCCUUUGGACGGUUCGCCGUCUGUUGGCUGCGGGAAGUUCGUUAAACCUUAUCAUUUAGAGGAAGGAGAAGUCGUAACA
RNAcentral lists this ribosomal RNA (327 nucleotides) under uncultured eukaryote. RNAcentral describes it as "partial 18S ribosomal RNA". It matches the Rfam family "Eukaryotic small subunit ribosomal RNA", at positions 1470 to 1796 of the family's 1831-position model. The record is from RNAcentral.